This 908-nucleotide ribosomal RNA is filed under the name uncultured bacterium. Its description in RNAcentral is "bacterial SSU rRNA". It matches the Rfam family "Bacterial small subunit ribosomal RNA", at positions 8 to 916 of the family's 1533-position model. The record is from RNAcentral.
AGAGUUUGAUCCUGGCUCAGAUUGAACGCUGGCGGCAUGCUUUACACAUGCAAGUCGAACGGUAACAGGUCUUCGGAUGCUGACGAGUGGCGAACGGGUGAGUAAUACAUCGGAACGUGCCUAGUAGUGGGGGAUAACUACUCGAAAGAGUAGCUAAUACCGCAUGAGAUCUACGGAUGAAAGCAGGGGACCUUCGGGCCUUGUGCUACUAGAGCGGCUGAUGGCAGAUUAGGUAGUUGGUGGGGUAAAGGCUUACCAAGCCUGCGAUCUGUAGCUGGUCUGAGAGGACGACCAGCCACACUGGGACUGAGACACGGCCCAGACUCCUACGGGAGGCAGCAGUGGGGAAUUUUGGACAAUGGGCGAAAGCCUGAUCCAGCAAUGCCGCGUGCAGGAUGAAGGCCCUCGGGUUGUAAACUGCUUUUGUACGGAACGAAAAGCCUGGGGCUAAUAUCCCCGGGUCAUGACGGUACCGUAAGAAUAAGCACCGGCCAACUACGUGCCAGCAGCCGCGGUAAUACGUAGGGUGCAAGCGUUAAUCGGAAUUACUGGGCGUAAAGCGUGCGCAGGCGGUUUUGUAAGACAGUGGUGAAAUCCCCGGGCUCAACCUGGGAACUGCCAUUGUGACUGCAAGGCUAGAGUGCGGCAGAGGGGGAUGGAAUUCCGCGUGUAGCAGUGAAAUGCGUAGAUAUGCGGAGGAACACCGAUGGCGAAGGCAAUCCCCUGGGCCUGCACUGACGCUCAUGCACGAAAGCGUGGGGAGCAAACAGGAUUAGAUACCCUGGUAGUCCACGCCCUAAACGAUGUCAACUGGGUUGUUGGGUCUUAACUGACUCAGUAACGAAGCUAACGCGUGAAGUUGACCGCCUGGGGAGUACGGCCGCAAGGUUGAACUCAAGGAUUGACGG